ACCAUCCUUUUCUUGGGGUUGCGCUACUGUCCAAUGAACAUCUAGUGAGGACAAUACUGCUAUGCCUAAAAUAGAUAGAUGA
RNAcentral lists this small nuclear RNA (82 nucleotides) under Myotis lucifugus (little brown bat). Its description in RNAcentral is "U4atac minor spliceosomal RNA (ENSMLUG00000021439.1)". It matches the Rfam family "U4atac minor spliceosomal RNA", at positions 1 to 82 of the family's 132-position model. From Rfam's summary of the family: U4atac is an essential component of the minor U12-type spliceosome complex which is required for removal of the rarer class of eukaryotic introns (AT-AC, U12-type). These interacting stem loops have been shown to be required for in vivo splicing. Lineage: Eukaryota; Metazoa; Chordata; Mammalia; Chiroptera; Vespertilionidae. The record is from RNAcentral.